RNAcentral lists this ribosomal RNA (535 nucleotides) under uncultured bacterium. RNAcentral describes it as "bacterial SSU rRNA". It matches the Rfam family "Bacterial small subunit ribosomal RNA", at positions 777 to 1325 of the family's 1533-position model. The record is from RNAcentral.
AAUAGAUACCCCGGUAGUCCACGCCGUAAACUAUGGAUGCUAGCUGUUAGAAGUAUCGACCCUUCUAGUAGCGAAGCUAACGCGUUAAGCAUCCCGCCUGUGGAGUACGGUCGCAAGACUAAAACAUAAAGGAAUUGACGGGGACCCGCACAAGCGGUGGAGCGUGUUGUUUAAUUCGAUGGUAAGCGAAGAACCCUACCCAGGCUUGACAUCCUUGGAAGGCUUCCGAAAGGAAACUGUGCCCUCGGGAACCAAGUGACAGGUGAUGCAUGGCCGUCGUCAGCUCGUGUCGUGAGAUGUUUGGUUAAGUCCAUCAACGAGCGCAACCCUUUUAGUUAGUUGUAUUUCUCUAGCUAGACUGCCCUGGUAACAGGGAGGAAGGAGGGGAUAAUGUCAGGUCAGUAUUUCCCUUACGUCUGGGGCUACAAACACGCUACAAUGGCCGGUACAAAGGGCAGCCAAGUCGCGAGACGGAGCAAAUCCCAUCAAAGCCGGUCUCAGUUCGGAUAGCAGGCUGAAACUCGCCUGCUUGAAG